AACGAACGCUGGCGGCGUGGAUAAGACAUGCAAGUCGAGCGCUGAUCACAGGGUAGCAAUAUUCUGUGGUUGGAGCGGCGCAAGGGUGCGUAACACGUGGGUAAUCUGCCGUGAAGUUUGGGAUAACUUGCUGAAAGGCGAGCUAAUACCGGAUGUGAAACUUGGAAGGCAUCUUCUGAUUUUCAAAGCUGGGGACCGUAAGGCCUGGCGCUUCAUGAUGAGCCCGCGGCCUAUCAGCUAGUUGGUAAGGUAACGGCUUACCAAGGCUAAGACGGGUAGCUGGUCUGAGAGGACGACCAGCCACACUGGAACUGAGACACGGUCCAGACACCUACGGGUGGCAGCAGUCGAGAAUUUUUCACAAUGGGCGCAAGCCUGAUGGAGCGACGCCGCGUGGGGAUGAAUGGCUUCGGCCCGUAAACCCCUGUCAUUUGCGAACAAAUUGCUCAACCUAACACGUGGAGCAUUGAUAGUAGCG
This 478-nucleotide ribosomal RNA is filed under the name uncultured bacterium. RNAcentral's name for it is "bacterial SSU rRNA". It matches the Rfam family "Bacterial small subunit ribosomal RNA", at positions 29 to 480 of the family's 1533-position model. The record is from RNAcentral.